This 253-nucleotide ribosomal RNA is filed under the name uncultured bacterium. RNAcentral's name for it is "partial 16S ribosomal RNA". It matches the Rfam family "Bacterial small subunit ribosomal RNA", at positions 524 to 776 of the family's 1533-position model. The record is from RNAcentral.
UACGGGGGGGGCAAGCGUUGUUCGGAAUUACUGGGCGUAAAGGGCGCGUAGGCGGCUCUUCAAGUCAGCCGUGAAAUCUCCAGGCUUAACCUGGAAGGGUCGGUUGAUACUGUCGAGCUAGAGUGUGGAAGAGGCAACUGGAAUUCCGUGUGUAGCGGUGAAAUGCGUAGAUAUACGGAGGAACACCUGCGGCGAAGGCGGGUUGCUGGGCCAACACUGACGCUGAGGCGCGAAAGCCAGGGGAGCGAACGGG